UGUAUUUAUUAGAUAAAAAACCAAUGCCCUUCGGGGCUUUUUGGUGAUUCAUGAUAACUUUACGGAUCGCAUAGCCUUGCGCUGGCGACGGUUCAUUCAAAUUUCUGCCCUAUCAACUUUCGAUGGUAAGGUAUUGGCUUACCAUGGUUUCAACGGGUAACGGGGAAUUAGGGUUCGAUUCCGGAGAGGGAGCCUGAGAAACGGCUACCACAUCCAAGGAAGGCAGCAGGCGCGCAAAUUACCCAAUCCCGACACGGGGAGGUAGUGACAAUAAAUACUGAUACAGGGCUCUUUUGGGUCUUGUAAUUGGAAUGAGUACAAUUUAAACCUCUUAACGAGGAACAAUUGGAGGGCAAGUCUGGUGCCAGCAGCCGCGGUAAUUCCAGCUCCAAUAGCGUAUAUUAAAGUUGUUGCAGUUAAAAAGCUCGUAGUUGAAACUUGGGCCUGGCUGGCGGGUCCGCCUCACCGCGUGCACUCGUCCGGCCGGGCCUUCCUUCUGAAGAACCUCGUGCCCUUCACUGGGCGUGCUGGGGAACCAGG
This 540-nucleotide ribosomal RNA is filed under the name uncultured eukaryote. Its description in RNAcentral is "SSU rRNA". It matches the Rfam family "Eukaryotic small subunit ribosomal RNA", at positions 202 to 746 of the family's 1831-position model. The record is from RNAcentral.